This 254-nucleotide ribosomal RNA is filed under the name uncultured bacterium. RNAcentral describes it as "partial 16S ribosomal RNA". It matches the Rfam family "Bacterial small subunit ribosomal RNA", at positions 524 to 776 of the family's 1533-position model. The record is from RNAcentral.
CACGUAGGGGGCAAGCGUUGUCCGGAUUUAUUGGGCGUAAAGAGCUCGUAGGCGGUUCGGCAAGUCGGGUGUGAAACCCCCAGGCUCAACCUGGGGACGCCACCCGAUACUGCUGUGACUUGAGUCCGGUAGGGGAGCGUGGAAUUCCUGGUGUAGCGGUGAAAUGCGCAGAUAUCAGGAGGAACACCAGCGGCGAAGGCGGUUCUCUGGGCAUUACCUGACGCUGAGGAGCGAAAGUGUGGGGAGCGAACAGG